AGAGUUUGAUCCUGGCUCAGAACGAACGCUGGCGGCAUGCCUAACACAUGCAAGUCGAACGAGACCUUCGGGUCUAGUGGCGCACGGGUGCGUAACGCGUGGGAAUCUGCCCUUGGGUUCGGAAUAACAGUUAGAAAUGACUGCUAAUACCGGAUGAUGACUUCGGUCCAAAGAUUUAUCGCCCAGGGAUGAGCCCGCGUAGGAUUAGCUUGUUGGUGAGGUAAAAGCUCACCAAGGCGACGAUCCUUAGCUGGUCUGAGAGGAUGAUCAGCCACACUGGGACUGAGACACGGCCCAGACUCCUACGGGAGGCAGCAGUGGGGAAUAUUGGACAAUGGGCGAAAGCCUGAUCCAGCAAUGCCGCGUGAGUGAUGAAGGCCUUAGGGUUGUAAAGCUCUUUUACCCGGGAUGAUAAUGACAGUACCGGAGAAUAGCC
Molecule: ribosomal RNA, 436 nt
Filed under: uncultured Novosphingobium sp.
Lineage: Bacteria; Pseudomonadati; Pseudomonadota; Alphaproteobacteria; Sphingomonadales; Sphingomonadaceae
Description: bacterial SSU rRNA
Rfam family: Bacterial small subunit ribosomal RNA
Source: RNAcentral